UACAGGGAAUAACUAUUUAAAGCUUAAAAAUUAAAAUUAUUUUAAUUUGUGAAGAAACAAUUAUUAAAAUUAAGGACAAGAAGACCCUAAGAAUUUUAAAAUAAUUAAUUUCUUAUAAGAAAUUAAUUAUUUUUAGUUGGGGCAACUAGAAAAUAUUAUAAACUUUUUAUAUAAUAAAAUGACCCAUUAUUAAUGAUUAUUUGAGAAAAAUACUCUAGGGAUAACAGCGUAAUAAUUUUUGAUAGAACCUAUAGACAAAAUAGUUUGCGACCUCGAUGUUGGAUUAGGAUACUUUUUUAAUGAAGAUGUUAAAAAAAGAAGUUUGUUCAACUUUUAAAGUCCUACUUGAUCU
This 352-nucleotide ribosomal RNA is filed under the name Dermacentor variabilis (American dog tick). RNAcentral describes it as "partial 16S ribosomal RNA". The stretch from base 220 to 352 matches the Rfam family "Bacterial large subunit ribosomal RNA", at positions 2473 to 2606 of the family's 2925-position model. The record is from RNAcentral. Lineage: Eukaryota; Metazoa; Arthropoda; Arachnida; Ixodida; Ixodidae.